This 558-nucleotide small RNA is filed under the name Serratia plymuthica. Lineage: Bacteria; Pseudomonadati; Pseudomonadota; Gammaproteobacteria; Enterobacterales; Yersiniaceae. The record is from RNAcentral.
GUCACGCCGCAUUGAGCGUGUGAGACAUUUGCCAUUCGAAUAGUGGGCAAUGUCGCUUUAUUCGAAAGUGAUUUUUGUUCUUUUUAUUAAAAAACAAAAAGUUAACAUUUUUCUGUGUUAUUGAGGGUUGGCAUUCCACGGCAGAUACCUUGAGCGUCACCUUUGAUCGCGUAAAGUAGAUCGCAGCACAAGGCUGUGCAGGAGUAAGGAACAUCCGGGAAGGGUGACAAAUCUCAGGGAGCGCACGGGAAGUGCAAUGAGUGACAGGAUGACCCCAGCAGGAACGCCUUGUUUGCACCUGAAUGUGUGAACAGCAUAAGGAUGGUGAAGUUAUUGCAAUCUGGAUGCCCGCAGGAAGCGCGCUCAGGGAGAGCGGAUGCGAACGGAUUGCGCCAUGGACGAUUUCCCUUUCAGGAUGAAGGACGUAGUAGCAGGGAAUGCGUUUAUAGCAGAGGGAAAAACCAGGAUGUUGAGUGUGCGCACGGAGCGCGUGGCAGGAAUAUCCUUCGAAAGAGGGUGAGAAAUAGGCGGCAGGUUUAACCUGCCGCCUUUUUUCUU